RNAcentral lists this ribosomal RNA (439 nucleotides) under uncultured bacterium. Its description in RNAcentral is "partial 16S ribosomal RNA". It matches the Rfam family "Bacterial small subunit ribosomal RNA", at positions 338 to 795 of the family's 1533-position model. The record is from RNAcentral.
CCUACGGGUAGCAGCAGUGGGGGAUAUUGCACAAUGGAGGAAACUCUGAUGCAGCGACGCCGCGUGAGGGAAGACGGUCUUCUGAUUUUAAACCUCUGUCUUUGGGGAAGUAAAUUACGGUACCCAAAGAGGAAGCUCCGUCUCACUACGGCCCAGCAUCCGCGGUAAUACGUAGGGAGCGAGCGUUGUCCGGAAUUACUGGGUGUAAAGUGAGCUUAGGCGGGCGAGAAAGUUGAAUGUUAAAUCUACCGGCUUAACUGGUAGCUGCGUUCAAAACUGUUUGUCUUGAGUGAAGUAGAGGUAGGCGGAAGUCCUAGUGUAGCGGUGAAAUGCGUAGAUAUUAGGAGGAACACCAGUGGCGAAGGCGGCCUGCUGGGCUUUAACUGACGCUGAGGCUCGAAAGCGCGGGGAGCAAACAGGAUUAGAUACCCCAGUAGUC